RNAcentral lists this ribosomal RNA (375 nucleotides) under uncultured Gammaproteobacteria bacterium. Its description in RNAcentral is "bacterial SSU rRNA". It matches the Rfam family "Bacterial small subunit ribosomal RNA", at positions 521 to 896 of the family's 1533-position model. The record is from RNAcentral. Lineage: Bacteria; Pseudomonadati; Pseudomonadota; Gammaproteobacteria.
UAAUACGGAGGGUGCAAGCGUUAAUCGGAAUUACUGGGCGUAAAGAGUACGUAGGUUGUUCGUUUAGUCAGAUGUGAAAGCCCAGGGCUUAACCUUGGAACUGCAUUUGAUACUGGCGAGCUAGAGUAUGGUAGAGGGGGGUAGAAUUCAUAGUGUAGCGGUGAAAUGCGUAGAUAUUAUGAGGAAUACCGGUGGCGAAGGCGGCCCCCUGGCCCAAUACUGACACUGAGGUACGAAAGCGUGGGUAGCGAACAGGAUUAGAUACCCUGGUAGUCCACGCCGUAAACGAUGUCAACUAGCCGUUGGGACCUUGAGGUCUCAGUGGUGCAGCUAACGCGUGAAGUUGACCGCCUGGGGAGUACGGCCGCAAGGCUA